This 680-nucleotide ribosomal RNA is filed under the name uncultured bacterium. Its description in RNAcentral is "bacterial SSU rRNA". It matches the Rfam family "Bacterial small subunit ribosomal RNA", at positions 88 to 754 of the family's 1533-position model. The record is from RNAcentral.
AAAGCGAGCGGCGGAUGGGUGAGUAACACGUGGGGAACCUGCCCCUAAGUCUGGGAUACCAUUUGGAAACAGGUGCUAAUACCGGAUAAUAAAGCAGAUCGCAUGAUCAGCUUUUGAAAGGCGGCGUAAGCUGUCGCUAAGGGAUGGCCCCGCGGUGCAUUAGCUAGUUGGUAAGGUAACGGCUUACCAAGGCGACGAUGCAUAGCCGAGUUGAGAGACUGAUCGGCCACAUUGGGACUGAGACACGGCCCAAACUCCUACGGGAGGCAGCAGUAGGGAAUCUUCCACAAUGGACGCAAGUCUGAUGGAGCAACGCCGCGUGAGUGAAGAAGGUUUUCGGAUCGUAAAGCUCUGUUGUUGGUGAAGAAGGAUAGAGGUAGUAACUGGCCUUUAUUUGACGGUAAUCAACCAGAAAGUCACGGCUAACUACGUGCCAGCAGCCGCGGUAAUACGUAGGUGGCAAGCGUUGUCCGGAUUUAUUGGGCGUAAAGCGAGCGCAGGCGGAAAAAUAAGUCUAAUGUGAAAGCCCUCGGCUUAACCGAGGAACUGCAUCGGAAACUGUUUUUCUUGAGUGCAGAAGAGGAGAGUGGAACUCCAUGUGUAGCGGUGGAAUGCGUAGAUAUAUGGAAGAACACCAGUGGCGAAGGCGGCUCUCUGGUCUGCAACUGACGCUGAGGCUC